Molecule: unclassified non-coding RNA, 339 nt
Filed under: soil metagenome
Description: partial contains 5.8S ribosomal RNA, internal transcribed spacer 2, and large subunit ribosomal RNA
Rfam family: 5.8S ribosomal RNA (bases 1-120)
Source: RNAcentral
GAUGAAGAACGUAGCGAAAUGCGAUAAGUAAUGCGAAUUGCAGAAUUCAGUGAAUCAUCGAAUCUUUGAACGCACAUUGCACCUCUCGGUAUUCCGGGAGGUAUGCCUGUUCGAGCGUCAUUUGUACCCUCAAGCUCUGCUUGGUGUUGGGUGUUUGUUCCGCCUCUGUGUGUGAACUCGCCUCAAAACAAUUGGCAGCCGGCGUACUUGUUUCGGAGCGCAGCACAUUUUGCGAUCCAGAUCAACGUACAGCGGCAUCCAAGAAGCCUUAUUUAACGCUCUUGACCUCGGAUCAGGUAGGGAUACCCGCUGAACUUAAGCAUAUCAAUAAGCGGAGGA